RNAcentral lists this microRNA (21 nucleotides) under Marchantia polymorpha subsp. ruderalis. The record is from RNAcentral. Lineage: Eukaryota; Viridiplantae; Streptophyta; Marchantiopsida; Marchantiales; Marchantiaceae.
GUUCCCAUGGAUGAGGAUGUU